AACGAACGCUGGCGGCAGGCUUAACACAUGCAAGUCGAACGGAUCCUUCGGGAUUAGUGGCAGACGGGUGAGUAACGCGUGGGAACGUACCCUUUGCUACGGAAUAACUCAGGGAAACUUGAGCUAAUACCGUAUGUGCCCUACGGGGGAAAGAUUUAUCGGCAAAGGAUCGGCCCGCGUUGGAUUAGCUAGUUGGUGGGGUAAUGGCCUACCAAGGCGACGAUCCAUAGCUGGUCUGAGAGGAUGGUCAGCCACACUGGGACUGAGACACGGCCCAGACUCCUACGGGAGGCAGCAGUGGGGAAUAUUGGACAAUGGGCGCAAGCCUGAUCCAGCCAUGCCGCGUGAGUGAUGAAGGUCUUAGGAUUGUAAAGCUCUUUCACCGGUGAAGAUAAUGACGGUAGCCGGAGAAGAAGCCCCGGCUAACUUCGUG
This 433-nucleotide ribosomal RNA is filed under the name uncultured bacterium. RNAcentral describes it as "partial 16S ribosomal RNA". It matches the Rfam family "Bacterial small subunit ribosomal RNA", at positions 29 to 507 of the family's 1533-position model. The record is from RNAcentral.